Thalassophryne amazonica is the source of this 155-nucleotide long non-coding RNA. RefSeq lists it as uncharacterized. The transcript is spliced from 2 exons. Lineage: Eukaryota; Metazoa; Chordata; Actinopteri; Batrachoidiformes; Batrachoididae. The record is from RefSeq and is a predicted model, not a curated record.
CAAAUAUGUAGGACUGCUUUUUUGCAUUUGUGCAAUAUCUCUAAAAUUAGAAAGGUCUUGUCUCAGAGUGAUGCUGAAAAACUAAUUCAUGCAUUUAUUUCCUCUAGGCUGGACUAUUGUAAUUCAUUACUAUCAGGUUGUACUAAAAGUUCCCU